Molecule: non-coding RNA, 50 nt
Filed under: pig gut metagenome
Also listed under: 1 other name
Source: RNAcentral
AUACGUGGAUGGAUUUGAUUGCUUGCAACCACAUUAAAAAAUUGCUAAAA